GCUUGUCUCAAAGAUUAAGCCAUGCAUGUCUAAGUAUAAACAAAUCUAUACUGUGAAACUGCGAAUGGCUCAUUAUAUCAGUUAUAGUUUCUUUGAUGGUUCUUACUACUUGGAUAACCGUAGUAAUUCUAGAGCUAAUACAUGCAUAAAACCCUAACUUCUGGAAAGGGUGUAUUUAUUAGAUGGAAACCAAUGCGGGGUAACCCGGAAUAUGGUGAUUCAUAAUAACUUUCGGAUCGAUUUAUCGAUGCAUCAUUCAAGUUUCUGCCCUAUCAGCUUUGGAUGGUAGGGUAUUGGCCUACCAUGGCUUUAACGGGUAACGGAGAAUUAGGGUUCGAUUCCGGAGAGGGAGCCUGAGAAACGGCUACCACAUCCAAGGAAGGCAGCAGG
Molecule: ribosomal RNA, 390 nt
Filed under: uncultured Chrysophyceae
Lineage: Eukaryota; Chrysophyceae
Description: partial small subunit ribosomal RNA
Rfam family: Eukaryotic small subunit ribosomal RNA
Source: RNAcentral